RNAcentral lists this ribosomal RNA (136 nucleotides) under Lachnospiraceae bacterium. RNAcentral's name for it is "partial 23S ribosomal RNA". It matches the Rfam family "Bacterial large subunit ribosomal RNA", at positions 2777 to 2925 of the family's 2925-position model. Lineage: Bacteria; Bacillati; Bacillota; Clostridia; Lachnospirales; Lachnospiraceae. The record is from RNAcentral.
GCAUCUAAGCGUGAAGCCCACCUCAAGAUGAGAUAUCCAAAGACCCCUUUAAGAGUAAGAGGUAGAUAGGGCGGAGGUGGAAGCACAGUAAUGUGUGCAGCUGACCGUUACUAAUAGGUCUGAUGCUUUUUUGAUC